AGAACGAACGCUGGCGGCGUGGAUAAGACAUGCAAGUCGAGCGCUGAUUACGGGGUAGCAAUAUCUCGUAGUUGGAGCGGCGCAAGGGUGCGUAACACGUGGGUAAUCUGCCAUGAAGUCCGGGAUAACUCGCUGAAAGGCGAGCUAAUACCGUAUGUGAAAAUUGGGAGGCAUCUUCUGAUUUUCAAAGCUGGGGACCGUAAGGCCUGGCGCUUCAUGAUGAGCCCGCGGCCUAUCAGCUAGUUGGUGAGGUAACGGCUCACCAAGGCUAAAGCGGGUAGCUGGUCUGAGAGGACGACCAGCCACACUGGAACUGAGACACGGUCCAGACACCUACGGGUGGCAGCAGUCGAGAAUUUUCACAAUGGGGG
This 371-nucleotide ribosomal RNA is filed under the name uncultured bacterium. RNAcentral's name for it is "SSU rRNA". It matches the Rfam family "Bacterial small subunit ribosomal RNA", at positions 26 to 377 of the family's 1533-position model. The record is from RNAcentral.